UAUGUGAUCGUCUCUCGCAUAUCAAUAAGCGGAGGAAAAGAAACUAACAAGGAUUCCCCUAGUAACGGCGAGUGAAGCGGGAAGAGCUCAAAUUUGAAAUCUUAAAGGGUUUCCCUUUACGAAUUGUAGUUUAAAGAAGUGUUUUCUGUUGAGGUUUUGGUAAAAGUUCUUUGGAAUAGGACAUCAUAGAGGGUGAGAAUCCCGUAUUUGACCUUUACUUUCAACUUUGUGAUACACUUUCAAAGAGUCGGAUUGUUUGGGAAUGCAGUCCAAAAUGGGUGGUAAAUUUCAUCUAAAGCUAAAUAUUGGCGAGAGACCGAUAGCGAACAAGUACCGUGAGGGAAAGAUGAAAAGAACUUUGAAAAGAGAGUUAAACAGUACGUGAAAUUGUCAAAAGGGAAGCGUUUGACACCAGUGUUGUUUUUCUGAAAAUCAAUUAAAGAACUGUUUAUGCUAAGCUGUUUAGACUUUAUCAGCUAUCUGCUUAGUUUUGAGCUUUUCUUUAGUGCACUUUUCAGUUAACAAGUCAACAUCAGUUUCUUUUGCUGUAAAAAAGCUUGAGGAAGGUGGCUUGAGAUUCGUCUUAAGUGUUUAUAGCCUCUUGCCUAUGCAGUCGGAGAGAUUGAGGUCUGCAGCGUAGAUCCUUCGGGGCUAAAUGCAUUUGUGCUAAGUUAUAGCAUUUUAUAGACAACUUGUUGACUAUGAUUUGUCUUGUAGCUUACUCGCUUAUGUUAUUUUACCUACGCUUAGGAUGUUGACACAACGCGCGUGCUCG
This 775-nucleotide ribosomal RNA is filed under the name uncultured Neocallimastigales. RNAcentral describes it as "partial large subunit ribosomal RNA". It matches the Rfam family "Eukaryotic large subunit ribosomal RNA", at positions 24 to 643 of the family's 3401-position model. Lineage: Eukaryota; Fungi; Neocallimastigomycota; Neocallimastigomycetes; Neocallimastigales. The record is from RNAcentral.